This 119-nucleotide ribosomal RNA is filed under the name Pteropus alecto (black flying fox). The record is from RNAcentral. Lineage: Eukaryota; Metazoa; Chordata; Mammalia; Chiroptera; Pteropodidae.
GUCUACGGCCAUGCCACCCUGAACAAGCCCGAUCCCGUCUGAUCUCAGAAGCUAAGCAGGGUCGGGCCUGGUUAGUACUUGGAUGGGAGACCACCUAGGAAGAACAGGUGCUGUAGGCG